Molecule: ribosomal RNA, 253 nt
Filed under: uncultured bacterium
Lineage: Bacteria
Description: partial 16S ribosomal RNA
Rfam family: Bacterial small subunit ribosomal RNA
Source: RNAcentral
UACGUAGGGGGCAAGCGUUGUCCGGAAUCAUUGGGCGUAAAGCGCGUGUAGGCGGCUUGGUAAGUCUGCUCUGAAAGCCCGGGGCUCAACCCCGGGAGGCGGGUGGAUACUGCUGAGCUCGAGUCCGGAAGAGGCGAGUGGAAUUCCUGGUGUAGCGGUGAAAUGCGCAGAUAUCAGGAGGAACACCGGUGGCGAAGGCGGGUCUCUGGGCCGAUACUGACGCUGAGGAGCGAAAGCGUGGGGAGCGAACAGG